AAUGGGGGAAACCCUGACGCAGCAACGCCGCGUGAGUGAUGAAGGCCUUCGGGUCGUAAAGCUCUGUCAAGUGGGAAGAAUCUGUCCGGUGAUAAUACCGCUGGGCAAUGACGGUACCGCUGAAGGAAGCACCGGCUAACUCCGUGCCAGCAGCCGCGGUAAUACGGGGGGUGCUAGCGUUAUUCGGAAUCAUUGGGCGUAAAGGGCGCGUAGGCGGUCUUUUAAGUCAGAUGUGAAAGCCCUCGGCUUAACUGAGGAAGUGCAUUUGAUACUAAAAGACUUGAGUAUGGGAGAGGGAAGCGGAAUUCCUGGUGUAGCGGUGAAAUGCGUAGAUAUCAGGAGGAACACCGGUGGCGAAGGCGGCUUCCUGGACCAAUACUGACGCUGAGGCGCGAAGGCGUGGGGAGCAAA
This 411-nucleotide ribosomal RNA is filed under the name uncultured bacterium. RNAcentral describes it as "bacterial SSU rRNA". It matches the Rfam family "Bacterial small subunit ribosomal RNA", at positions 370 to 772 of the family's 1533-position model. The record is from RNAcentral.